GCUGCCAGAUAUUUGGCCCGUGAGAAUCUAUCACGCCGGCCAAAGUUGAUUUUCCACGAGAGUGAGAUUUGCUUUCUGAAAAACUAUUUCCCAAAUGUCAGUAUCUGUUACUUAUACGUCCUUGUGGUUUUUAUUACUAAGACUGAGUCCCAGUGCUUACUGUCGUUGUUGGGUGUUCUCGUGUUUCUGCUUCCCUGCCCCCCAACAUUGGCGGGUGUUAGAAUCAAAAGCAAACGGAGACCUGCUUUGAAAAUCCCCUGAGCAGACAAAACCAGUUUGGUUAUACAGAGAUUAAUGUUUAUUUUGCAAGACAGCCCGACCUGGGCCACCUCUCGCUUAGGCCCCUGGAAAUCGCGAACAAAACCUUUCUUUCCCAAACGUUUCCCAAAAGUUGCUAUGAGCUAACCACUCACCAAUUCUGUGUCGUUAAAGAAAGUUCUAAUGUUGUGACGACUCACUGUGAAUCUCGAAGUCCCUGCCUCCUCACCUCCUGCGCGGCUGUCUGGAAAUGCGCCCCUGAGCCCGUCUAUGCUCUGGUUAAGUGCUCCCAGCUUGGAAACGGUCUUUUGGCGAACGCGCGGUCCGUCUUUACUAAUUGCUACUUCAGUCACUCGCUGCACUUUUGUCAGUGUUCACCAGAGAGUGUCGUGCGGGACGUUUUUGGAACGAGUACAUGCCACCCUCCAAGAGGAGGGGUUUUAUCACCCUUACGCGGCGUCUUCCUGACGAGCCUCACCACUUUCCAGAAGAGAGUUAGCAUAGGAGGCCCCCUCAAAGUUUUUGACCUCAAAAGGCUUUUUCCCGAUCCUUUGUCUCAGCGCAUGUGACAUGGAGCACGCCCGGGGAAGAGUCUCAUCGGAGCGAGUGUUUGGGGACAGUGUGACGCAGAGGUGUUAAGAGCCCGAGAAAUGCUCUCCUUUAGACCAUGGCCUCCAGGGGCUGCGUCAGCGCUGCUCCUUUGGUAAGAAAUCCACUCCGACUCUCUUUUUUCAGGUACGAACAGUUCACAGUUCACGCACAGAUGGCUUGUUUCUGAAUUCAAAAUGCCACAACUUUUUGUAAAAACCAUUGAAAUUGUCCAAAUAUACAUGCAAAAAGAAUAGUUUUAUGAACGUCCAUA
Long non-coding RNA from Neofelis nebulosa (Clouded leopard), 1120 nucleotides. RefSeq lists it as uncharacterized. The transcript has 2 exons. The record is from RefSeq and is a predicted model, not a curated record. Lineage: Eukaryota; Metazoa; Chordata; Mammalia; Carnivora; Felidae.